GAAGGUGUGCUGUGAGGCAUGCUGGAGGUAUCAGAAGUGCGAAUGCUGACAUAAGUAACGAUAAAGCGGGUGAAAAGCCCGCUCGCCGGAAGACCAAGGGUUCCUGUCCAACGUUAAUCGGGGCAGGGUGAGUCGACCCCUAAGACGAGGCCGAAAGGCGUAGUCGAUGGGAAACAGGUUAAUAUUCCUGUACUUGGUGUUACUGCGAAGGGGGGACGGAGAAGGCUAUGUUGGCCGGGCGACGGUUGUCCCGGUUUAAGCGUGUAGGCUGGUUUUCCAGGCAAAUCCGGAAAAUCAAGGCUGAGGCGUGAUGACGAGGCACUACGGUGCUGAAGCAACAAAUGCCCUGCUUCCAGGAAAAGCCUCUAAGCAUCAGGUAACAUCAAAUCGUACCCCAAACCGACACAGGUGGUCAGGUAGAGAAUACCAAGGCGCUUGAGAGAACUCGGGUGAAGGAACUAGGCAAAAUGGUGCCGUAACUUCGGGAGAAGGCACGCUGAUAUGUAGGUGAAGUCCCUCGCGGAUGGAGCUGAAAUCAGUCGAAGAUACCAGCUGGCUGCAACUGUUUAUUAAAAACACAGCACUGUGCAAACACGAAAGUGGACGUAUACGGUGUGACGCCUGCCCGGUGCCGGAAGGUUAAUUGAUGGGGUUAGCGGUAACGCGAAGCUCUUGAUCGAAGCCCCGGUAAACGGCGGCCGUAACUAUAACGGUCCUAAGGUAGCGAAAUUCCUUGUCGGGUAAGUUCCGACCUGCACGAAUGGCGUAAUGAUGGCCAGGCUGUCUCCACCCGAGACUCAGUGAAAUUGAACUCGCUGUGAAGAUGCAGUGUACCCGCGGCAAGACGGAAAGACCCCGUGAACCUUUACUAUAGCUUGACACUGAACAUUGAGCCUUGAUGUGUAGGAUAGGUGGGAGGCUUUGAAGUGUGGACGCCAGUCUGCAUGGAGCCGACCUUGAAAUACCACCCUUUAAUGUUUGAUGUUCUAACGUUGACCCGUAAUCCGGGUUGCGGACAGUGUCUGGUGGGUAGUUUGACUGGGGCGGUCUCCUCCUAAAGAGUAACGGAGGAGCACGAAGGUUGGCUAAUCCUGGUCGGACAUCAGGAGGUUAGUGCAAUGGCAUAAGCCAGCUUGACUGCGAGCGUGACGGCGCGAGCAGGUGCGAAAGCAGGUCAUAGUGAUCCGGUGGUUCUGAAUGGAAGGGCCAUCGCUCAACGGAUAAAAGGUACUCCGGGGAUAACAGGCUGAUACCGCCCAAGAGUUCAUAUCGACGGCGGUGUUUGGCACCUCGAUGUCGGCUCAUCACAUCCUGGGGCUGAAGUAGGUCCCAAGGGUAUGGCUGUUCGCCAUUUAAAGUGGUACGCGAGCUGGGUUUAGAACGUCGUGAGACAGUUCGGUCCCUAUCUGCCGUGGGCGCUGGAGAACUGAGGGGGGCUGCUCCUAGUACGAGAGGACCGGAGUGGACGCAUCACUGGUGUUCGGGUUGUCAUGCCAAUGGCACUGCCCGGUAGCUAAAUGCGGAAGAGAUAAGUGCUGAAAGCAUCUAAGCACGAAACUUGCNAAGCUCUUGAUCGAAGCCCCGGUAAACGGCGGCCGUAACUAUAACGGUCCUAAGGUAGCGAAAUUCCUUGUCGGGUAAGUUCCGACCUGCACGAAUGGCGUAAUGAUGGCCAGGCUGUCUCCACCCGAGACUCAGUGAAAUUGAACUCGCUGUGAAGAUGCAGUGUACCCGCGGCAAGACGGAAAGACCCCGUGAACCUUUACUAUAGCUUGACACUGAACAUUGAGCCUUGAUGUGUAGGAUAGGUGGGAGGCUUUGAAGUGUGGACGCCAGUCUGCAUGGAGCCGACCUUGAAAUACCACCCUUUAAUGUUUGAUGUUCUAACGUUGACCCGUAAUCCGGGUUGCGGACAGUGUCUGGUGGGUAGUUUGACUGGGGCGGUCUCCUCCUAAAGAGUAACGGAGGAGCACGAAGGUUGGCUAAUCCUGGUCGGACAUCAGGAGGUUAGUGCAAUGGCAUAAGCCAGCUUGACUGCGAGCGUGACGGCGCGAGCAGGUGCGAAAGCAGGUCAUAGUGAUCCGGUGGUUCUGAAUGGAAGGGCCAUCGCUCAACGGAUAAAAGGUACUCCGGGGAUAACAGGCUGAUACCGCCCAAGAGUUCAUAUCGACGGCGGUGUUUGGCACCUCGAUGUCGGCUCAUCACAUCCUGGGGCUGAAGUAGGUCCCAAGGGUAUGGCUGUUCGCCAUUUAAAGUGGUACGCGAGCUGGGUUUAGAACGUCGUGAGACAGUUCGGUCCCUAUCUGCCGUGGGCGCUGGAGAACUGAGGGGGGCUGCUCCUAGUACGAGAGGACCGGAGUGGACGCAUCACUGGUGUUCGGGUUGUCAUGCCAAUGGCACUGCCCGGUAGCUAAAUGCGGAAGAGAUAAGUGCUGAAAGCAUCUAAGCACGAAACUUGCNCCGAGAUGAGUUCUCCCUGACCCUUUAAGGGUCCUGAAGGAACGUUGAAGACGACGACGUUGAUAGGCCGGGUGUGUAAGCGCAGCGAUGCGUUGAGCUAACCGGUACUAAUGAACCGUGAGGCUUAACCUU
This 2592-nucleotide ribosomal RNA is filed under the name Escherichia coli. RNAcentral's name for it is "bacterial LSU rRNA". The stretch from base 1 to 1670 matches the Rfam family "Bacterial large subunit ribosomal RNA", at positions 1252 to 2925 of the family's 2925-position model. Lineage: Bacteria; Pseudomonadati; Pseudomonadota; Gammaproteobacteria; Enterobacterales; Enterobacteriaceae. The record is from RNAcentral.